GAAUCUUUGUUACCAGUUUCCUCACCAAGAUAUCCAAAAGAAAAUACUAGCCAUGGCUAAAUACACAGCCUUCAUUGCCCUCAUCUUCUGUCUUCUCCUUGUUGCUGCUACUGAAAUGCAAAUGGCAGAAGGAAAAUACUGCUGGAAGAAAAGUCACAAGUGGCAUGGGCCUUGCCACUAUUCUUACAAAUGUAGCCACCACUGUAAGCACUAUUUUGGAGCUGAAUAUGGAAUUUGUAAGAAAUAUCAAUGGGGACACAAACAUCAUCACUGGAUAAAAUAUGCUUGCUAUUGCUAUUCUCCUUGCCAUUAAUCACGAGGAAUUGACUUUAGAGCCUCAACGAUUUGCUUGGAGUGAUAUAUAUAAAUAAGAAACUGACUUGUUGUGUUUGCAGAGUAUAAUUACUGCAUCAACAAUCAGUUAGUGUGAUUUUGUUAUGUGUUUGUGUAUGUCACAAUGUAAUAAGUUUUGUUAUUAAGUCUCUAGCUUGACUUUUUUAGUCGAGCUAAUAGUAUUUGCCUGAAGAAUUAUGUUGCUUUCAUUUUAUUUUAUGUUUCUAUAUUGGUGUUUAAUGUGAGGUUGUGAACCAUUGUAUUACACUGCAUAAUACUAAUAUUUUUAUUAAAAUAUCA
Nicotiana attenuata is the source of this 633-nucleotide long non-coding RNA. RefSeq lists it as uncharacterized. NCBI's taxonomy places the organism in Eukaryota, Viridiplantae, Streptophyta, Magnoliopsida, Solanales, Solanaceae. The transcript is spliced from 2 exons. The record is from RefSeq and is a predicted model, not a curated record.